UCGUACUGGUGACCUUGGGAUUCCGGUGCAGCGCCCUAAUCAACUUGACUCUGUAGUUCAGUUGAUUAGGGCGCUGCACCGGAAUCCCAAGGUCACCA
Non-coding RNA from Paramuricea clavata, 98 nucleotides. The record is from the annotation of a GenBank genome assembly. NCBI's taxonomy places the organism in Eukaryota, Metazoa, Cnidaria, Anthozoa, Malacalcyonacea, Plexauridae.